RNAcentral lists this unclassified non-coding RNA (344 nucleotides) under soil metagenome. Its description in RNAcentral is "partial contains 5.8S ribosomal RNA, internal transcribed spacer 2, and large subunit ribosomal RNA". The stretch from base 1 to 120 matches the Rfam family "5.8S ribosomal RNA", at positions 35 to 154 of the family's 154-position model. The record is from RNAcentral.
GAUGAAGAACGUAGCGAAAUGCGAUACGUAAUGUGAAUUGCAGAAUUCAGUGAAUCAUCGAGUCUUUGAACGCACAUUGCGCCCUCUGGUAUUCCGGAGGGCAUGCCUGUCCGAGCGUCAUUGCUGCCCUCAAGCACGGCUUGUGUGUUAGGCCCCGUCCUCCGCUCGCGGGGGACGGGCCUGAAAGGCAGCGGCGGCACCGCGUCCGGUCCUCGAGCGUAUGGGGCUUUGUCACCCGCUCUGUAGGCCCGGCCGGCGCCUGCCGAUCAACCACACUUUUAUUCAGGUUGACCUCGGAUCAGGUAGGGAUACCCGCUGAACUUAAGCAUAUCAUAAGCGGAGGA